RNAcentral lists this transfer RNA (53 nucleotides) under Burkholderia pseudomallei 1258b. Its description in RNAcentral is "partial tRNA-Gly". Lineage: Bacteria; Pseudomonadati; Pseudomonadota; Betaproteobacteria; Burkholderiales; Burkholderiaceae. The record is from RNAcentral.
GCGCAACCUUGCCAAGGUUGAGGUCGCGAGUUCGAGACUCGUCUCCCGCUCCA